RNAcentral lists this transfer RNA (98 nucleotides) under Hemiselmis andersenii. RNAcentral's name for it is "tRNA-Leu". Lineage: Eukaryota; Cryptophyceae; Cryptomonadales; Hemiselmidaceae. The record is from RNAcentral.
CUAGAGUGGCCGAGUGGUCUAAGGCGUCAGCUUCGAUGCAACUUAAGAUCUGAUGGUGAAAAUCGCGUGGGUUCGAAUAUCAUACACCCCACCUCUAG